This 253-nucleotide ribosomal RNA is filed under the name uncultured bacterium. RNAcentral describes it as "partial 16S ribosomal RNA". It matches the Rfam family "Bacterial small subunit ribosomal RNA", at positions 524 to 776 of the family's 1533-position model. The record is from RNAcentral.
UACGAAGGGAGCUAGCGUUGUUCGGAAUCACUGGGCGUAAAGCGCACGUAGGCGGAUGUGUCAGUCAGGGGUGAAAUCCCGGAGCUCAACUUCGGAACUGCCUUUGAUACAGCACAUCUGGAGUCCGGAAGAGGUGGGUGGAACUGCGAGUGUAGAGGUGAAAUUCGUAGAUAUUCGCAAGAACACCAGUGGCGAAGGCGGCUCACUGGCCCGAUACUGACGCUGAGGCACGAAAGCGUGGGGAGCGAACAGG